CCUGCGGAAGGAUCAUUAUCGAAAUAAACUGAUGGGUUGCUGCUGGUUCUCUAGGGGACAUGUGCACACUUGUCAUUUUUAUAUCUCCACCUGUGCACCUUUGUAGACCAGAAUAUCUUUCUGAAUGCUUGACAUUUAGGUUGUGAGGAUUUGGCUGAGCCGUCUGCCUUUCCUUUCCUUUUCGGGUCUAUGUUUCUUCAUAUAAAUACCCCUUGUAUGUUAUAGAAUGUAAUGAAUAUGGGCCUUGGUGCCUAUAUAAACCUUUAUACAACUUUCAGCAACGGAUCUCUUGGCUCUCGCAUCGAUGAAGAACGCAGCGAAAUGCGAUAAGUAAUGUGAAUUGCAGAAUUCAGUGAAUCAUCGAAUCUUUGAACGCACCUUGCGCUCCUUGGUAUUCCGAGGAGCAUGCCUGUUUGAGUGUCAUUAAUCUAUCAAUCUCUUAGGCUUUUUUGCUUGUUGAGUGUUUGGAUGGUUGGGGGUUAUUAUUUGCUGGCCUGGUCAGCUCCCCUGAAAUGCAUUAGCGGAACCAUUUGUUGAUCGUUCAUUGGUGUGAUAAAACUAUCUACGCUAUUGACGUGAGGCAGGGCUCAGCUUCUAACUGUCUAUUGACUUGGACAAAUCCUUCAUUAAUGUGACCUCAAAUCAGGUAGGACUACCCGCUGAACUUAA
Molecule: ribosomal RNA, 669 nt
Filed under: Cortinarius orellanus
Lineage: Eukaryota; Fungi; Basidiomycota; Agaricomycetes; Agaricales; Cortinariaceae
Description: eukaryotic LSU rRNA
Rfam family: 5.8S ribosomal RNA (bases 270-423)
Source: RNAcentral